AGCAGCCGCGGUAAUUCCAGCUCCAAUAGCGUAUAUUAAAGUUGUUGCAGUUAAAAAGCUCGUAGUUGAAUUUCGGGAUCAAGGAAUCGGUCAUGCCUUGGUAUGUACUGGUUUUAUUGGUUCUCACCUUCUAAAGAACCAUAAUGUCAUUCAUUUGAUGUUAUGGGGAAUUAGGACUGUUACCUUGAAAAAAUUAGAGUGUUUAAAGCAGGCUUACGCUUGAAUACAUUAGCAUGGAAUAAUAAAAUAGGACGUUUGAUUCUAUUUUGUUAGUUUCUAGGAUCGACGUAAUGAUUAAUAGGGAUAGUUGGGGGCAUUAGUAUUCAAUUGUCAGAGGUGAAAUUCUUGGAUUUAUUGAAGACUAACUACUGCGAAAGUAUUUGCCAAGGAUGUUUUCAUUAAUCAAGAACGAGAGUUAGGGGAUCGAAGACGAUCAGAUACCGUCGUAGUCUUAACCAUAAAUUAUGCCGACUAGGGAUCAGAUGAAUGUUAAUUUUUUAAAUGACUCAUUCGGCGCCUU
Molecule: ribosomal RNA, 520 nt
Filed under: uncultured Glomus
Lineage: Eukaryota; Fungi; Glomeromycota; Glomeromycetes; Glomerales; Glomeraceae
Description: SSU rRNA
Rfam family: Eukaryotic small subunit ribosomal RNA
Source: RNAcentral